Molecule: ribosomal RNA, 450 nt
Filed under: uncultured bacterium
Lineage: Bacteria
Description: partial 16S ribosomal RNA
Rfam family: Bacterial small subunit ribosomal RNA
Source: RNAcentral
GUGGGGAAUCUUCCGCAAUGGACGAAAGUCUGACGGAGCAACGCCGCGUGAGUGAUGAAGGUCUUCGGAUUGUAAAGCUCUGUUAAUCGGGACGAAAGAGCCUAGUGUGAAUAAUGCUAGGAAGUGACGGUACCGGAAUAGAAAGCCACGGCUAACUACGUGCCAGCAGCCGCGGUAAUACGUAGGUGGCAAGCGUUGUCCGGAAUUAUUGGGCGUAAAGCGCGCGCAGGCGGAUCUGCCAGUCUGUCUUAAAAGUUCGGGGCUUAACCCCGUGAUGGGAUGGAAACUACAGAUCUAGAGUAUCGGAGAGGAAAGUGGAAGUCCUAGUGUAGCGGUGAAAUGCGGAGAUAUUAGGAAGAACACCAGUGGCGAAGGCGACUUUCUGGACGAAAACUGACGCUGAGGCGCGAAAGCCAGGGGAGCGAACGGGAUUAGAAACCCCUGUAGUCC